Molecule: ribosomal RNA, 1907 nt
Filed under: human gut metagenome
Description: bacterial LSU rRNA
Rfam family: Bacterial large subunit ribosomal RNA
Source: RNAcentral
UCAAGCUGUAAAGGGCGCAAGGGGAAUGCCUUGGCACUGAGAGCCGACGAAGGACGCGACAAGCUGCGAUAAGCUACGGGGAGCCGCAAAUGGGCUUUGAUCCGUAGAUUUCCGAAUGGGGAAACCCGGCAGAGCAAUACUCUGUCAACGUACACUGAAUACAUAGGUGUACGUGGGGAACCGCCUGAACUGAAACAUCUAAGUAGGGCGAGGAAGAGAAAUCAACCGAGAUUCCGCUAGUAGUGGCGAGCGAACGCGGAAGAGGCCAAACCGGAGGUAGCAAUAUUUCCGGGGUUAGGACUGCAAUAUGUAACUUUAAUCUUUAACUGAAUGCUUUGGGAAGAGCAGCGAUACAGGGUGACAGCCCCGUAAGUGAAAAGGAUUGAGUGCUAGCAGUAUCCAGAGUACCAGCGGACACGUGAAACCCGCUGGGAAGAUGGGGGGACCAUCCUCCAAGCCUAAAUACUACUCAGUGACCGAUAGUGGAGCAGUACCGUGAGGGAAAGGUGAAAAGUACCCCGGGAGGGGAGUGAAAGAGAACCUGAAACCUUGUGCCUACAAGCACCGAGAGCACGUUAAAGUGUGAUCGGGUACUUUUUGUAGAACGGUCCGGCGAGUUAAUAUUUGCAGCGAGGUUAAGUAACUGGAGUUACGGAGCCGCAGCGAGAGCGAGUCUGAAUAGGGCGUAUGAAGUUGCAGGUAUUAGACCCGAAACCGGGUGACCUAUCCAUGAGCAGGCUGAAGCGGUGGUAAGACACCGUGGAGGGCCGCACCCACGUCUGUUGAAAAAGCCGGGGAUGACUUGUGGAUAGCGGAGAAAUUCCAAUCGAACUCGGAGAUAGCUGGUUCUCCCCGAAAUAGCUUUAGGGCUAGCGUUAUUUUAGAUUACCGGAGGUAAAGCACUGAAUGGUCUAGGGGCCGCGAGGUUACCAAAGCCUAUCAAACUCUGAAUGCCGGAUAAUUGAUGAAUAGCAGUCAGACUGUGUGAGAUAAGUCUCAUAGUCAAAAGGGAAACAGCCCAGAUCUACAGCUAAGGUCCCAAAUGAACACUAAGUGGAAAAUGAUGUGAAACUGCGAAGACAACCAGGAUGUUGGCUUAGAAGCAGCCACUCAUUCAAAGAGUGCGUAAUAGCUCACUGGUCGAGUGGUUUUGCGCAGAAAAUGUAACGGGGCUAAGUGUUCAACCGAAGCUUAGGCAUUGUACUUUGUACAUUGGGUAGGGGAGCGUCGUAUGCGGGGCGAAGUCAGAGCGGAAGCACUGGUGGACUGCAUACGAGUGAGAAUGCCGGAAUAAGUAGCGAGAAUUAUGUGAGAAUCAUAAUGGCCGAAAAUCUAAGGUUUCCUGGGGAAGGUUCGUCCGCCCAGGGUUAGUCGGGAGCUAAGCUCAGGCCGAAAGGCGUAGGCGAUGCACAUACGGUAGAAAUUCCGUAACCACCGAACUUUAAGCUAGAGGGACGCUUUCUUUAAGGUUAUCCCGGGCGAUGGUUGCCCCGGGCGUAAGGGACCGAAAUUUAGUAGGGAAGUAACUGGCGAGAGAGACGAGAAAAGCUCUAGUGUAUACUAAGGUGCCCGUACCGCAAACCGACACAGGUAGAAGGGAUGAGUAUUCUAAGGCCAACGGGAGAAGGGUUGUUAAGGAACUCGGCAAAUUGGCCCCGUAACUUCGGGAUAAGGGGCGCCUGCGAGAGCAGGCCGCAGUGAAAAGGCCCAAGCGACUGUUUAGCAAAAACACAGCUCUCUGCUAAAUCGAAAGAUGACGUAUAGGGGGUGACGCCUGCCCGGUGCUGGAAGGUUAAGGGGAGUGCUUAGCGCAAGCGAAGGUGCGAACUUAAGCCCCAGUAAACGGCGGCCGUAACUAUAACGGUCCUAAGGUAGCGAAAUUCCUUGUCAGGUAAGUUCUGACCCGC